AUACAUGCAACUCGAGCGGACAGAAGGGAGCUUGCUCCCGGAUGUUAGCGGCGGACGGGUGAGUAACACGUGGGUAACCUGCCUGUAAGACUGGGAUAACUCCGGGAAACCGGAGCUAAUACCGGAUAGUUCCUUGAACCGCAUGGUUCAAGGAUGAAAGACGGUUUCGGCUGUCACUUACAGAUGGACCCGCGGCGCAUUAGCUAGUUGGUGAGGUAACGGCUCACCAAGGCGACGAUGCGUAGCCGACCUGAGAGGGUGAUCGGCCACACUGGGACUGAGACACGGCCCAGACUCCUACGGGAGGCAGCAGUAGGGAAUCUUCCGCAAUGGACGAAAGUCUGACGGAGCAACGCCGCGUGAGUGAUGAAGGUUUUCGGAUCGUAAAGCUCUGUUGUUAGGGAAGAACAAGUGCAAGAGUAACUGCUUGCACCUUGACGGUACCUAACCAGAAAGCCACGGCUAACUACGUGCCAGCAGCCGCGGUAAUACGUAGGUGGCAAGCGUUGUCCGGAAUUAUUGGGCGUAAAGGGCUCGCAGGCGGUUUCUUAAGUCUGAUGUGAAAGCCCCCGGCUCAACCGGGGAGGGUCAUUGGAAACUGGGAAACUUGAGUGCAGAAGAGGAGAGUGGAAUUCCACGUGUAGCGGUGAAAUGCGUAGAGAUGUGGAGGAACACCAGUGGCGAAGGCGACUCUCUGGUCUGUAACUGACGCUGAGGAGCGAAAGCGUGGGGAGCGAACAGGAUUAGAUACCCUGGUAGUCCACGCCGUAAACGAUGAGUGCUAAGUGUUAGGGGGUUUCCGCCCCUUAGUGCUGCAGCUAACGCAUUAAGCACUCCGCCUGGAGCCGAACG
RNAcentral lists this ribosomal RNA (852 nucleotides) under Bacillus sp. TSSAS2-28. RNAcentral describes it as "bacterial SSU rRNA". It matches the Rfam family "Bacterial small subunit ribosomal RNA", at positions 51 to 885 of the family's 1533-position model. Lineage: Bacteria; Bacillati; Bacillota; Bacilli; Caryophanales; Bacillaceae. The record is from RNAcentral.